GUGGUGUUACACCGGUUACCAGUAGUGGUGAGAGAAACGGUGCUGUGACCCGGCGCAUAUUUUGGUGACGUGAAAAGAUUGUCUCUUCCUCUUUGACUCAGAAACCUUUUUAUUUAUACUCAGAGAGAGUCAUGGAACGGUAAAUGGUUCUACUGUGGUCAGACCGUUUCCACUGGCGGAAUAUACGAUUGAUUUAGAUCUACAUCGAUUCAUACCAACACAAAUGGAAAGAAAUAUGACCACCACAGACGAAAUUCGCUCAAUUGUUGGGCGAAGACCGACUGGCUGGUGCCAGGGGGAGUAAUGUCUGGGUCUGUAUGGAGCCUUUUAAUUUCACAUUUGAACAGAUCAACUUCGAGCACGAACUCCAGCUGCCCCCUGGUGUUGAGCAGGUUCAACAGAAUUUUGAUUCCUUCAAUAAUGUGAUUCACUACGACUUGGAUUUUGUCAAUGAUUCCACCUCUUCUGCCGAUCUUCAGUCUUAUGGAAUUCCUGAGACUGUAAAGAGGAACCCCGUUGAGCAGAGGCUAUGCCAGAGCAGCGUAGGUAACCCUUGUGAUACUCGAGUUCACUAUGUUUGGUCUGAGAAAAGGUUAAGUCCAGAAGGAAGCGACCAUCUUGUGAAUCCCUUUAUCAACUUCAGUGAACUUGAACCAGACAAGUCUUCCUCCGUCACCAAUCCUACCACAACUACUGAUGACAUAUCUACCCUUAUCAAGGUAUCAGCCAUCACCAAAACUGUGAAUUCUCAGCUGCGUAGCCGUGACAACAGACCAAAGUUUACAAUCCCAAAAAGGAAGAUGGCUACAACGGAAGUGUCUCCUUCAACACUGGCACAUGUACCACAGCCAGCGACCACCACUGCACAACGAACAACCAAUACAGCUCCAUUUGAAAAUAGCAAUGCAUUUGAGACGGUUGCAGAAGCCCUCCACUUGCAGUGGUCAGUCAUUGGUGAUAAGAAUGUGACCCCUGCUUCCCCUGAAGUAGUUGCUCAGAUUGUGGCUGAAGCAGAGAAGAGGUUGAAGGCCAGCAAUAUACAACCAGCGCCCUUGAGUGAAAGUUUCUCCUCAAAGACAAAUUCAGAAACAUCCUCUGACAUACCUCAGAAUCUUAUUCCUGGUCUCAACAGUGAUAGCCAAAGUCUGAAAAUGUCUUUUGAGAGAACGCCACGUUUGGAUUCUUUAUACUCUAAUGAUUCUCAUUCGUUGAUGUCUUCAGGAGAAAGCACUGAAAUAUUGCCAACAGACGUUUCAAAGACUAACAAAGAUUUGGCCAGAGUUAUUCCAUCAACCGAAGGCAAAAUUAUAAUUCCUGCAACAAAUAUCACUUUAACAACAGAGAAAACCUCUUGGUUCAAUUCAGGACCAAAACUCGUAUCUGACACCGAAACAUCCCCCAGGGACAGGGAACAGGUAAAACCAAAAUCCAAGAAAAAGGGAAAACCUAAGAACAAAUCUGCUUCCAAAGAUUUUACAGAAGAAAACGAUGGUUUGUCUCCCUCCGCAUCAACAACAUCUUCAGUUGUCUCAUCGUCCAUGGAACAAAUCUCCAGAGAACUCAGUCAAGAGAAUGGUCUAAGCGAAGGAGACAAAACUGAUGAAGUUGCUUCUGUAAAAAGUUCCUCAGUUCAGUUCUCUGAUUGUGAUGAGGAUUACAAUUAUGAAGACGACAGCACAGCUGAAGCUUUUCUCAAGUCACUGCCGCCUGUCAAAGCCAUUGAGCUGGAAAGUUUCCUGAAAAGAUUCCAUAAUGGACGGCACUCUCCACCAGUGAGAGAACGUUCUUUCACACCAAGCGACUCUGGCAGAGACACUGCAAGGUUUUCUCCUCUGCUGGAUUCGGUGACCGGUGCUAGCCAUGACCAAAAGUAUUCUUUCCAAAACACUGACAUUUCUGAUCGCCUUGGUUCCGUCCCUGGCAGUGUGGAGUUACCUGAGAAAGAUGUCAGUCCUUUACCAUCUAAAUUACCCACAAAACCUAAAAUCGUUCUUCCUGACCCUGGACCUCUUUUCAAGAAUGCAAUGAAACCAUUUACAGAGAGAAAAUCCAAGGCCUAUGUCGAGGUAUCUUCUCCAGCAACAGGGAAACUGGAAGAAAUGAACCUAAAUACUGUUCUGAAGGAGAAGGCAAAGCUGGAGGGUCAGUUGGAAGUGUUGAGUGCAGAGGCAGAAAUUGCAUUACAAGAACGUGCGGAGUUGCAGGCUCAAGUUGCCUCUCUGGACCAGAAACUGCAAUUGUUGAAUAACUCAGAGUCUGACGUGAAGCAGAAUGCACUGAAAGCUGACAUCAGGAGCUUGAAAGAGAACCGUGUCUACUUGGAACAAUGUUUAGAAGACACUCAGAAACUGCUGGAAGAAAAGAUUGAUGCUGCUAAACAUCAUGAAGAGGAAUUGAAGCUGACCCAAGAACUUCAGGACAAGCAAAACAUCCAUGUACGAGAAUUGUCAGACGGUCUUAAUGCCCGUGACGUGACCAUUCAAGCAUUAAAAAAUAAAGUUGCAGAACUUUAUGUUGAGGUGCAGACUGCACUUCAGAAAAAAAUGCUGUCCGACACUGAUGCACGGAAUGCAAAAAGUGACCUUUCAGCCAUUACCAGCACAAAGCAGUGGUACCAUGAACAACUCCAGAUGGCCAACAAGGUUCGUUCAGAACUGCAAAAGGAGUUAACGGCACUGCAUGCACGAGUCUCAUCUCAGGGAAUAAUCAGCGAACGCUUGAAAGCAGAUACUGCACGCCUGCACCAGUUGUUGUCUGAGACGCGGCAGAAGGCAGUGUUAGAAAAAGAGACACUCGCUCGACAAUUGGAGAACAUCCAGGCAGACAUGCUGGAGAGAGAAACAGCUUUCCAGGAGAUCCAGAGGGAGCGGCAUCUCAUUGAAGAGACAUUUGAUUCGAAAAUUUUGAGUGUCGAGGAAGAGAAGUCAAAGAUAGCCACCCUGUUGCAGACCACAGUUGACCUUGAGGCUCAGCUUGAGAAAUCACAAAACAACGUGAAGAAAAAGCAGAUUCAAAUAUUUUCUUUAGAAACUGAGCAGGCAAGUCUGAUGAAAAAUCUGAUGGUUACUGAAGGAAAACUUACUGAAAAGGAUAAAAUCACUGAGGAAUUACAGCAGAAACUCAUUGAUGUUGAAUCUUCUUUGAAUGCUUUCCAAACCGAAGCCAGUCGGAAGAACCAGGAAGUGUUGAAGUUGAAAGAAGAGAAGGCUGCGGUGGAAAUAUCUUUGGUAGCAGCUUCUGAAGAAAAGAAAAUUUUUGAUUCUUCCUUGGAAACACUUCGUGGUGACUUGAGUAAAGUAGAGAAAAGCUUUUGGCAGAUGAAGCAGGAGCUGAAUAAUCGUGUUGCCGAACUUGAACAAGUGAAGGAGGACAGAGAUAGGGUCAAGUUGGAAUUGGAAGAAUCUCAGAAAACACUCUCUAAUUUGCCUGAGAAAGAACUUCAGGAAGACAAAGAGAAUCUGGCUGAACAUUCUCAGAAGAUUGAGAAGAAGAACGAGGCCCUUGCCAAGGACUUAAACGAUCUUCGAGUGCAGUUUACGGAAUUGAAUGACCGGUAUUUACAUGAAGUUCACGAAAAGGAAGCUGUACAGAACCUUCUAGAAAAUGUCCAGAAGAAUCUUGAUCUUGUAAAUGUAGAAUUAGAAAAGGAGAAAGAGAGACCAUCAAGUGAAGAGCAAAGUCUAGAAAAUUCCGAGAAACUUCUGCAGCUUGAAACUGAAAAUAAAAACCUGAAAGCAGAGAUGAAAUCCGUUGAAAAGAAACGGCAAAACACCUUGACCAAAGAGAAGGCUCGGUCAGCAAGACUUGGCACCGAUUUAAAUGCUGUGCAGAAUGAAUUGAUGCAAAGACAAAAGGCUUAUGACAGCAACACUGAACUCCUCAGCAGUAAACUCCGUGAGAUGGUUUCCAGCAAAGAAGCACUUCAGAACGAACACGAUAUGCUUAAACGGAAGUUUGAAUUUGGUAUGUUGGAGCAACAAGAUCACAUGAAGGUAGAAUUACAGACUCUUGCUGGAGAAUUAGAAUUGGUAACCAACCAGAAACACCAAGCUGAAAGUCAAUUAACAGAACUGGAAAUAGCAACCAAACAACAGAUUGACCAAUAUGUAGCACAGGUUGUGGCCAUGGGGGAGCAACUACAGCAGUUGGUCAAUGAGAAAGAAGAAGUGGAGCGGGAAGCCAGUUCCAAAGAUUAUCAAUUCCAGCUGGAACUUGAAAAAGAACGAGGUCGCCUUACAGGCUUACAACAAAGCAAUACAACUCUGAAGAACCAUGUUGCUGAGUUAGAAGAAGCUCUGGCUCGCCGUGAGUCGUCACUGGUCGAACUGCAGACCCAGUUCAGUGAAACCCUGAAGAACCAAGAUUGUAAUGAUUCUGAUUUCAGCAACAGGUUACAGGAACUCGAACAGAUGUUGGCUCAUGAAAAGGGUAACCAGAGGGAGCUCAGGAAACAGAUUGGUGUGAAGAUUAAAGAAAACAAAAACUUGAAGCGGCAACAGAAAGCUCUGGCAACUGAACAGGAGCAAUUACAGGGGAGCCUUGAGCAGAAAGCAUCGCAAUGUGAUGCAACUGCAGAUGAACUGCAGCGAAAGAAGGAAGAGCUGUCUCAGGUGCAGUCUAGUCUUCAGAAUGUGCAGCAUGUUAACCAAACACUGAAUGCUCAAAUUGAGCGCUUGCAACGGAACCUCUCCGACAAUCAGGACCGCAAUCCAGUCAUACUGGAGCAACUAGAGAGUUUACAAUGGAAGCUUCAACAGAAGAACUCUGAAAUUGAGUCUGUUCGUCACCAAUUGACUCUGUCUGAAGAACGACAUGACCUGGAACAGGAGAAUCUGAAAAAGACUCUACAGAACAACCAGCAAGAACUGGAGGCCCUCCGUGGUGAACUGAAAGCCUCACGCCAAGAAAAGUUGAACCAACAGGCCAAAGUGGCUGAAUUAAGGAGUGCCCUUAAGACCUCAAUCCAUCAACAUAAGAUCUCCAAAAAGGUUUCAUCCAAAUUAAAAGGCUCCCCCAAGAGGACCUUAGUUAACAGUGAAAACCUGACGGCAGAAGAAGCCAGCAUUGAACCUGAAUCAAUGCAGCCUGUAACCGAAGGAGCUUGCUCUCCGAACUGUCGAGACGUCGGGACACAAAUGGAUGAAGAUAGCAAGGAGACCCUAUUGGCGCCGGUCGGUGAACCAUUUGACAUCGAAGCCUUGGAACAGCUAUUGCAGGACACAACAGUCCAAGCUCUGGAAAGCAAACCAUUGGAUGACUUGCAGUCCUGCCUGAGUAGUCUUCGAGCUCAAAUCUCCGGACUAGAGAAGCAGAUCGAUGAUCAUUCAGCAGCUAUUCAGAAUUCUGGUGAAACCUGGAGGGAUGUCGAAACACAAGUUGUUGAACUCCAACAAGUGGUGCAAACCGUAACCAACACAACGUCCUGCCCGACGCUAACCACUACCGUGGCAGACACUUCAGAAGCAACCUAUUGAACGCAGAGCGUGCAGCCAGUUAUUAUUAUUACUAUCAUCGUCAUUAUUGCAUUAUUAUUAUUAUUAUUAACAAUAUACAUACAUGUGUGUAUAUACAUAUAUAUAUAUGUAUGUAUUGCUUUGUUGUUCUGGAUGUGUCCAGUGGGAUGUAGGGUUUGGUCUUCGUUAAAACUUUUUAUCGUUAUGUUUUGGUUAAUUAGUUCCUUCUGCUAUCUCCUGUAGUAUUCUGCAUGUCUUUACAGAAUCUUUCUUGGCUGCGUGUGUAUGAUUUUGUGUAUAUAUGUAAGUGUAUAUAUAUAUUAAAUAUGUGUGUAUCUUUGUAAACCAAUACAUGUAUAUGUGUGUGCAUAUCUGAAUAUAUAUGUAUAUAUUUAUGUAUAUAUGUGUAGCUUGGAGGUGGUGAGUGAUGUGGGAUUGAGUGGGAAUAAGGGAGUCCAUCCUGUACUCAACAUCAGACCUGUGUCCCCUAAUUUGGUUCAUCUUGCCACUAAAUCCUUGGUUUUCAUUUGGAUUAUGGCCUGUUUGUGAAACCCAGUUUGCAGUGGCUGGCAUAUAUUAUCUUCAUCAAUCUGAGGUGUCUGCAAGCAGAGAAACUUUCUAUGUGAUCAUUCGAUAUUGCUAGAAAUAGUAGCCAAAUGUACUUCAUAUAAAGAAAAAACACAUCGGAAAAUGUAGUCUUAAAUCUGAACACCCCCUACCAGAGAAAGUGAUGGUGGUCAUGAUUAGCAUGUCUUUAAUUAUACAUCUGCUCAGUCAGUGUUGUCCUGGGUUAAACAACAAUUAGAAGAAGCCUCUUGAGCUUACUAGCAACCUUUAUGUGGUCACUGAAGCUGCUAGAAAUAUCAGCCAAAUCUCUCUCAAAUUACUGUUGUAUAAAAAACAGCAGACUGGAUACCAUUAGUCUGAUUUGUGUGACAUUAUUUUUUUUAAGACAACUUUAUUCAGAUGUAAAGUGCCAUCUUUGCUAAAUAGCUAUGUCUAGUAAAGACUCUAGUAGAAGUACCAAGACUGAUGGUUGUCUAAAGCAUUUUUGUUGUUGUUGUCAAGGAAUCUGUAUUUUACAAAAAUAAGGCUCCCUGCCACAUCCAAAUGAAAGUUCUCUGUUCUCCCUCCGUCUCUGUCUACUUGGUAACACACUUGUCAUGAAAACAAAGAGCUGGGGGUUUGAGUCUCAUGCAUAUGGAAACCCUACUUUUUUUCCAUCAAGGGCUUAUCUGCCUCAAUAUUAGACUAUUUUCUUUAGUCAUUUCUUAGUUCUAAGCUUAUAAAAUAUUAUUAUUAUUAUUAUUUACAGAAUUGUAAAAAUUGGCACUGCUUAUCAAAAGCCAUCGCAGAUAUAUAUGUGUGUGUGUGUGUGUACAUAUAAUAUAUUAUAAAUGGUGUAAGUUGUUAAGAAAGAAAGUGUUACACCCUGCAUCUCUACUUAUGUAUAUAUGUAUAUAUAUAUAUAUGAAUAUGUGUGUGUGUCUACAUAUGUUUAUAAGAUAUAUAUAUAUAAUCAUAAAUGAUCUGGCUUGUUAAGAAAGAAAGUGUUAUACCCCUGCAUCUCUAUCUACUUAUAUGCGUGUGUGUGUGUAUGGGUGUGUAUGUGUAUAUAGUAUAUAUAUAUUAUAAAUGGUCUGGCUUGUUAAGGAGGUGUUAUACUCUACAUCUCUAUCUACUUAUAUAUAUGUGUGUGUAUGUGUGUGGUGUUAUACCUGCAUCUCUAUCUACUUAUAUAUAUGUGUAAGUGUAUAUAUAUGUGUGAGUGUGUGUGUGCUUAUGUAUAUAUGAUAUAUAUUUUAAAUGCUCUGGCUUGCUCAGACAGAAAGUGUUAGACCCUGCAUCUUUAUCUACUUAUAUGUGUAUGCAUGUAUGUAUGUGUCUAUACAUCUGUGUGUGUAUAUGUAUAUGUGUGUGCGUAUAUAUAUAUAUAUAUAUAUAUAUUAUGAAUGACCUGGUUUGUUAAGAAAGAAAGUGUUACUCAGUUCCCUGGGACAAUAUUCUUUCCUAUCCAGAUCAGGUCUGUUAAACAAAGGUAGCCGACAUUCUUGAGUGUACGAACACUAAUCAAUGAGGAACGAUUAAUAAGUUGUCUUUGAGACACAUUCUGUCAAAUUCUUGGGCAGAAUUCUUCACAGAAGAUUUGUGAAGAAAUUUUUAAGAAUUUUUUUUUUUAAAUUGAACAUAGAAAGAAAGAGAAAGUGAAAGUUGCCAAAACAAAGUUUGCUCGUUUGUGUGUGUGUGUGUGUGUGUGUGGUGUGUGUGUGUGUGUGUGUGUGUGUAUGAUUUUCAUGUUUGACAAUUUGCAGAAGGAAAAAUCCAACAUUUCCUUGAGUGGAAAAAUGAAUAUUUGUGAAUGAUUAUACACACACACACAUAUAUAUACAUAAGGAAGUGAUAUACACAUAUAGAUGCAUACUUGUGUACAUAUGCAUGUAUAUGUGUGGCUAUAUGUUUGUGUAUGUAUGUUUGAAUACCUGUCCCCUUAUAUAUGCAUGUGUUUGCAUGAAUGAAUGUGCACACAUACCAACUGGAAGUGUCCCCUUUUUGCAAUGUGUUCGUUUAGUUUCUGAAUGAAAGCAAGAAAGAUGACAACCACUUUGGCCCCCUAAAAAGUAUGUAUUGUGGCCAAUAAUUAUUUUGGACUAGUUCACAUGUAAAUAACAUGUGGCACCUAUGUUAAUUAAUUUUGUCAAAAUUGUUGAUAAUGUGGGGUUUCUUUGGUUAAAAAUAUAAAAAAAUAAAAAAUUAAGGGAAAGAGUUACAAACAUGACUCGAAAUACAUAAAACAUGGAGGAAAGUAACAAAUGCAACAACAAAAACAAUUAUAAACGAUACUAGACAAACAAAUAAACAAAACAAUCAGCACAAUGACUAUAACUUCGCACUGUUGUACCGCUGAAUACUUGGUCUUUGAAUUCAUUUGUAAAAACAUCCUGGUAAUAGCAACUGUAAACUCUUUUGCUGCUGCGGAAAUUUCACAACUCUUAACUGUGGAAAGGAAUUGUAUAUUCCAACCUGUUGGAACUAUUUUCUGUUGGGAUAUGUCAAGUUUAUCAAAGCAAUGGGACUUAACCGAAAAUAUCAAUUCUAUUUUUUGGGUAUUAUUUAACAUCAUUUGUGGAAAAAGCAUGAAAUUCUUGUUACAUUUGCGGAUGAUCAUCUUUUGCCACACAUUUUUACAUCAAGAAUCCUGCAAAACAAUAGACAUAUGAAAUUAUAUUUUGCAGUUAAAGUGUUUUAAAACCCCUUCAGUCUGUGAUUGGGAGGUAAAAACAAAGGGGUUCUUUUUUUUUUUUCUUCUUUUUUGGUUUGUUUCUAAAUGCUGAGAUAAGAAGACGUUGCAAGUGAGAGGAGUCAUACUCUCUCAACCACUGACUAUAACACAUAUUCUACUUAUCUUUAUGCAAUUUGUGUCUAUUUUCUUUUUUUGUAUUUUUUCUUUUUUCCCCAUCAUUGUUUUUACAAAUUUGUUUCCUGUUCUGAUUUUUUUUUGUUGUUUUUGAGAGGUAAUUUCAAUAAUUUUGCUUUUUCUUUUUACUUCUUGAUAUUUAUUUAUUACCUGGUUAAAUUUGAUUUAUCAUUUAUUUACAUUUAAGAUUCAUUUAAAAAGUUUCUGUGUUAAUUGAAUUCUCUCACUUUUUCUGUAUUUUUCUUUUUUUUUUUCAUGGGUGUUUUUGGGUACGAAUCUGUUUAUUUGGUUUCUGGUUAUUUUUUGCAGGAGGAAAUUACGUUUAUUUCUGCAUCUCACGACACUACUACUACACUUACAACACACACUACACUACACUGCAACUGCCAGCAUCAUGUUACCCUACAACUGGACCCUCACCAGCGACGGCUACUCAAACAGACCCAUGCAUUGGAGGGUUGUCAGCUGAGUGGUGCAAGGGUGUCAUCUACCAAGAAUAGGGAACCACUAACAAAUGGUGGAUGCUACAAUGCUCUGUUACAGCACAUACUCCUAUACUACUACUACUACUACUAUCACAUUACGCUUCUGUCAUAUUACACUACAGCUACCGUCACACCACACCAUACCACUGCCACAACACUACGCUACACCUCUGUUGCAUAACGCUCCCAUUGCAUCACAUCACACUCAACACACUCCAUUGCGUUAUCCCACCACUGCCACCACCCACUACAGCUUUUCUACUUAAAUUAUCCAACUGUUUAUUAUAUAUGUUGUUAAAUUCUAAUUGUGAGCUCCCUGUAGCCAUCCUGAAUUCAGGGAAGCUGGGAAGAGAGAAGGUCACUGUGUUACCCCUUUUUGUUUUGGAGGGGGUUUGGGCAAGUUAACGAGCUCGUUUAAUAUGCACAAUGCUUAUGUAUAGCUUUAUAACACUCAAGGGAGCAAUUAGAAGGGAGGUUUAUGCAAAACCUUUACAUGAAAUGUGUUAACCCCUCUAAAAGAGGCCUACACUUAGACACAGAGGGGGAAGUAAGGGUUCAGGUAGUAAUUGCUACAAUUGGGCUAAUCACUCUAAACUGGUCGGUUUUUUUAAUGUUUUUUUUUUUUUGGUUUCUCAAUCCUUUCUCAGAAGUGAAGAGGAAACGAGUGAAAGAGCUUCUACAUGAUGUCUAGAUCUGCUAGAAAUAGCAGUCAAAUUUACCUCAAAUGUACCCUACAUUUUUAGAAAAUGACAGUUCAUAGUUUGAAAUGUUAUAUUCCUGAAUGAGAUGGGAUGGUCAUGGCUAGAAUGCCUUUGAUUAUAAGUCUUCUCAAAAUGGGGCCAAUUUGGAGAGCCAACAGCAACAACAAAUGUAAAAAGAGAGAAAAGAAGUGGGGGUCCCUGGAUUUUGAUUAGGCAGGGAUAUAACAAAAGGUAUUUUAGGGACUACAUUGUAUAUAACACAUUCUUUCUGUUUUAAGAUAGUUGGAUGUAACUUGAGGGAAUUUGGUUGCUAUUUCUAGCAGAUGAAAGUGGCUGCUGUCGGUCUUGACAUCACAUACGGUUGUAAUAAUGUUUCAUUGCUCAGUAAGCUAAUAUUUUUAUUUAUUCUUAUGCAUCUGAGGUUUCAAACUCCCUUUCCCUCUGCAUUUUUUCAGUUCUCAGUAUUCUUUUUCCUUUUUUUUUUGUCCUUCUUUGGUUCAAAUGAUUCAUUAAGAAAAGAUUAUAUUUUUGGUUUAAAAAA
This 10595-nucleotide unclassified non-coding RNA is filed under the name Octopus sinensis (East Asian common octopus). RNAcentral's name for it is "golgin subfamily A member 3-like, transcript variant X5". Lineage: Eukaryota; Metazoa; Mollusca; Cephalopoda; Octopoda; Octopodidae. The record is from RNAcentral.